CGGGGCGUAGCUCAGCUGGCUUAGAGCACCUGCUUUGGGAGCAGGGGGUCGCGUGUUCAAAUCACGCCGCCCCGACCA
RNAcentral lists this transfer RNA (78 nucleotides) under Omnitrophica bacterium RIFCSPHIGHO2_02_FULL_46_11. RNAcentral's name for it is "tRNA-Pro". It matches the Rfam family "tRNA". Rfam says of the family: Transfer RNA (tRNA) molecules are approximately 80 nucleotides in length. The record is from RNAcentral. Lineage: Bacteria; Pseudomonadati; Candidatus Omnitrophota. RNAcentral also lists the same sequence under 2 other names.